This 181-nucleotide non-coding RNA is filed under the name Bacillus massilioanorexius. RNAcentral describes it as "6S / SsrS RNA". It matches the Rfam family "6S / SsrS RNA". Rfam says of the family: E. coli 6S RNA was the first non coding RNA to be sequenced, but its function was unknown until recently. The record is from RNAcentral. Lineage: Bacteria; Bacillati; Bacillota; Bacilli; Caryophanales; Bacillaceae.
GUCCUGAUGUGUACGUAGUCUAAACCUAUAAGUUUUGACCGAACACUUAUAGUUACGGGAACUUACGUUUCAUAAAUGCGUAUAUGCCUCAUUCAUAGUGGACUUACAAAUUUAUGAACAGAGUACCCACCUGCGGAGAGCGGGUUCAAAACCAAGGCGAAAAACGGCACGAUUGGGACUU